GGCCGCUGGGGCGGCGCGGGCGCGGGUCCCCUCGUGGCUCUCCGGGAGCGAGCCCCGUGCAGGCCGCUGGGGCGGAAGGGGCGGCGUGGGUCCCCCUUGUGGCUCUCCGGGAACGACCCCCGUGCAGGCCGCUGGAGCGGAGGGGGCAGUGCAGGCGCGGGGUCCCCCUCGUGGCUCUCCGGGAGCGAGCCCCGUGCAGGCCGCUGGGGCGGAAGGGGCGGCGCGGGUCCCCCUCGUGGCUCUCCGGGAGCGAGCCCCGUGCAGGCCGCUGGGGCGGAAGGGGCGGCGCGGGUCCCCCUCGUGGCUCUCCGGGAGCGAGCCCCGUGCAGGCCGCUGGAGCGGAGGGGGCGGCGCGGGCGCGGGGUCCCCCUCGUGGCUCUCCGGGAGCGAGCCCCGUGCAGGCCGCUGGGGCGGAAGGGGCGGCGCGGGUCCCCCUCGUGGCUCUCCGGGAGCGAGCCCCGUGCAGGCCGCUGGAGCGGAGGGGGCGGCGCGGGCGCGGGGUCCCCCUCGUGGCUCUCCGGGAACGACCCCCGUGCAGGCCGCUCGCGGAAGGGGCGGCGCGGGGUCCCCCUCGUGGCUCUCCGGGAGCGAGCCCCGUGCAGGCCGCUGGAGCGGAGGGGGCAGCGCGGGGUCCCCCUCGUGGCUCUCCGGGAGCGAGCCCCGUGCAGGCCGCUGGAGCGGAGGGGGCGGCGCGGGUCCCCCUCGUGGCUCUCCGGGAGCGAGCCCCGUGCAGGCCGCUGGAGCGGAGGGGGCAGUGCAGGCGCGGGUCCCCCUCGUGGCUCUCCGGGAGCGAGCCCCGCGCAGGCCGCUGGAGCGGAGGGGGCAGUGCAGGCGCGGGGUGCCCCCUCGUGGCUCUCUGGGAAUGACCCCCGCGCAGGCCGCUGGAGCGGAGGGGGCAGUGCAGGCGCGGGUCCCCCUCGUGGCUCUCCGGGAGCGAGCCCCGUGCAGGCCGCUCGAGCGGAAGGGGCGGCGCGGGCGCGGGGUCCCCCUCGUGGCUCUCCGGGAGCGAGCCCCGCGCAGGCCGCUGGAGCGGAGGGGGCAGUGCAGGCGCGGGGUCCCCCUCGUGGCUCUCCGGGAACGACCCCCGUGCAGGCCGCUGGAGCGGAGGGGGCGGCGCGGGGUCCCCCUCGUGGCUCUCCGGGAGCGAGCCCCGCGCAGGCCGCUGGAGCGGAGGGGGCGGCGCGGGCGCGGGGUCGCUGCCCUGACAGGUGCUGGAGACGCACGCACACCCAGGUCUCGGGUCAAACACUCCUGUUGAAUUUCUGUACACGAGAUACUUCAAAAAGGUGGUUGAAAAUGGAAUUGACAGAUAAAUUUAUUUUUUAUUUUUUAAAGAUUUAUUUAUGUAUUUGGAAGGCAGAGUUACAGAGAAGCAGAGAGAGAGAGGUCUCCCAUCUGCUUGUUCACUCGCUGAAUGGCCACAGUGGCUGGGCCUGGGCCAAUCUGGAGCCAGGAGCUGCAUCAGAGUUUCCCAUGUGGAUGGCAGGGUCCCAGGCACUGGGGCCAUCUUUCCCAGACCAUUAGCAGAGAGCUGGAUUGGAAGUAGAGCAGCCAGGACUCAAACUGGUGCCCAUGUGGGAUCCCAGCACAGCAGGCGGCGGCUUUACCCACUGCACCUCAGUUCCAGCCCCUAUUUUGUUUUUUUAAGGGCUUACUUUUAGUUACUUGAAAGGCAGAAUGAUAGGUGGGGGUGCAGAGAGAGCUCCCACCGGCUGGUUUGCUCCCCAGGUGGCUGUGAUGGCUGGGCUGGGCCAGGCCGAAGCCAGGAACUCCAGCCGGGUCUCCCACGUGGACGGCGGGGACCCAAGUCCUUGGGCCCUUUGCUGCUUUCCCAGGCGGGGAGCUGGAUCAGGAGCGGAGCAGCCAGGACUUGAUUCGGCCUUCCGAUGCAGGAAGUUAGUAUUGCAAGUGAUAGCUUAGUCCGCCCUGCCACGACGCCGGCCCCAGGCAGAUUGCUCUUGAAGCCUGUGUGGGGUUUUUACGUAGUGUGCGUUUCCACGAACUUCGUGUGGGGUGUGCUCCUGUGAGCUGCUGGCAGCCUGUGUGCAAACCUGGAGACGUCUCCUCAGCCUCCAGGUUUUCAUGGAGGAACCCAGUUACCGCGGUGGGAGGUUUCUUGGAAUAACCUCAGCCUCGCCUCUUAGUCUGACUCCGGUGGGGAAUCACGCGCGUUGCAGAGUGCGGUGGCCGGCUGUGACCUAAUUCUGAGCUGUGAUAAAUAACGCGGCAGCCGGGGAGCUGAGUGAACCGUGCCAUUGUCCCCAGCGCGGCAGCCGAACACACCGCUCUCAGGGCUCGCUUUCCGUCAGGAAGCGCAGAUAAGGGACUGGGGUUGGAGUUUCUCCUCCCACUCCCCGGUGGUGCGGGCAGCACUGCCGACCGGGUGGCCGCAGAGCUGCUGUGGGAAGCCCUGGCUUUAGUAGCUCUGGUGGGAAGGACCCAGGCGUCAUGCGGGAGGAAGGCGGCGUCUGCACCGUGGCUUCUCGGGUCCCUCCCAUGCAAGCAGCUGGGCCGGCAAAGGGCUGGGCUGGUUGGCACAGCACCUGGGUUGCUUGCCGUGCGUGCCACAGGCUGCCCCGCGGAGGCGCUCAGCCCUUCUCUGCCCUGUGGCUGCCGUACACUGGGGGCGGCCGUUGGGCCUGGCAGUUCACCCCGGGCAGGAAGCCUGUAUCCGUCAUUGAAGUGCUUGGGGCCAGCUCCCGUUCUGACCCAGCUUCCUGCUAACACAGACUGGCUCAGGUGGUUGGGCUUUGGCCGCUCGCCUGGGAAACCUGGUCGGAGUUCCUGGCUCCUGUCGUCAUCCUGGCCCAGUGCCGGCUGUCGUGAGCACUUGACGAGUGGACCAGCAGACGGGGUCUGUCUGUCUGUCUCUCUCUUCCUCAAAUAAGUAGAUAAUACAAAAGAGGCAGGGGGGAGGGGGGGAGAAUUCGGGGAACUCUGGCACGGGCCUCGGGUGGGUCUGGAUUCAGAGAGGGAGCCCGUGGAGCACGCGGGUUUGGUGUCCCGGUUCUUGCCGGGAUCUGGCAGUGGUGCCCUCCCCUCCCUGCUCUGAGGAGCUGGGUGGCUCCCAGGCCGGCUUGUGUUUCAUCCGUGUGUGUGUGCUUGUCUUCGGACGGAACGCCCCGUGCCAGGGUGGCCUCGCGCCACUCCGAGGUGGCCUGGUGAAAGCCGCCUCCUGGCCUGACCUGUUUGGGCCACAUUUUGUGAUCUGUUUCACUGUCCCCUGUAUUUAAAAUAAGAGUUUUUAGAUGGUUAAUUCUGAGCAUAAAUUUCAGCUCAUCUCUGAGUGUUUAAAAAGCUGGGCCCUUGGGGCUGGCGCUGUGGUGCAGCGGGUUAAACCACCGCCUGCAGUGCUGGCAUCCCAUGUGGGGGCUGGUUCAAGUCCCGGCUGCUCCAUUUCCGAUCCAGCUCCCUGCUAAUGCACCUGGGAAAGCAGUGGAAGAUGGCCCAAGUGCUUGGGCCCCUGCACCCGCGUGGGAGACCUGGAGGAAGCUCCUGGCUCCUGGCUUCAGAUCAGCACAACAGUGGUCAUUGCGGCCACCGGCCACUUGGGGAGUGAACCAGUGAUGAAAGAUCUCUCCCUGACUCUCCUUCUCUCCCUCCCUCUCUCGCUCUCUUGCUCACUCGCUCUCUCUGCCUUUCAAAUAAGUAAGUAAAUAUUGAGAAAAAAAAAAAAA
Non-coding RNA from Oryctolagus cuniculus (rabbit), 3677 nucleotides. The record is from RefSeq and is a predicted model, not a curated record. Lineage: Eukaryota; Metazoa; Chordata; Mammalia; Lagomorpha; Leporidae.